RNAcentral lists this ribosomal RNA (480 nucleotides) under uncultured bacterium. RNAcentral's name for it is "SSU rRNA". It matches the Rfam family "Bacterial small subunit ribosomal RNA", at positions 26 to 518 of the family's 1533-position model. The record is from RNAcentral.
AGAAUCAACGCUGGCGGCGUGCCUAACACAUGCAAGUCGAACGAGAAAGUGGGAGCAAUCCCAUUAGUAAAGUGGCGCACGGGUGAGUAACACGUGAGCAACCUACCUUCGAGUUCGGGAUAGCCCUGGGAAACCAGGAUUAAUACCGGAUGUGGUCACAACGGGACAUCCCGAUGUGAAAAAAGGCGCAAGCCGCUCGAUGACAGGCUCGCGGCCUAUUAGCUUGUUGGUGGGGUAACGGCCUACCAAGGCGACGAUGGGUAGCUGGUCUGAGAGGACGAUCAGCCACACUGGGACUGAGACACGGCCCAGACUCCUACGGGAGGCAGCAGUUAGGAAUUUUCCGCAAUGGGCGAAAGCCUGACGGAGCAACGCCGCGUGUGUGAUGAAGGCCUUCGGGUUGUAAAGCACUGUCGGAGGGAAGAAUGAAUGACGGUACCCUCCAAGAAACGCCCCGGCUAACUACGUGCCAGCAGCCGC